Solanum dulcamara is the source of this 699-nucleotide long non-coding RNA. RefSeq lists it as uncharacterized. The record is from RefSeq and is a predicted model, not a curated record. The transcript has 2 exons. Lineage: Eukaryota; Viridiplantae; Streptophyta; Magnoliopsida; Solanales; Solanaceae.
UGAAACCUGAAAAAUACUGCUUUAGCUUACUAUGUGGAUCUCCAGUAUUUGCAUGUAACAAUUACUUUGAUCUAGACUGACAGAUGUUAUUAUUUGAAUCAAUUGAAUGCAUGAUACGACUGGCAAAGAGUGAUAUUACCGCCUGUAUGUUCCGAUUUUCAUCAUCAAAAAACAGCAUCUCAUUGUAGGGCACCGCCGUCUUUCGGUUGAUUUUCUGAAAGUGUUCCGUCUUAUGUGUCCAACUGGAGAAUAUCUCCUGCAAUACUAAGCCUUCAGCAUGAUGACCUCACACAGUAAGUAGCAUCAGCUAAAAAUGAAUGUCAUGAAAGUGAGCAUUUUACAGCUUGUUUGGAUGGUUACCUACACUGGCGUACUCUCCCACUCCUCAACCAUGAAAAGAGUGGUCACAAGGAAGUCAACUACUAACAAGGAGGCACAGAGCUAAAUGGACAGCAGAAAAAAAUUGCAGGUUAUCAUAGCAUCAGAAGAGCAAUAAAAAGAGAUGCUGAGAUUUCCAUCAUCUCACCUGGGCUACAAACAUUGAUUUUAUCCCCAGUUUUUGAAGGAAAGCGUUUGCUAUAUCUGGAGUGGGUGAUCUUGAGGCAAUAGCAACAUUCACUCCCUUGUCUUUGAAGGCAUGUAAGAUACCUUUGGCCUGAGGAUACAUAGAUGGAAUUUCAUUUUUGUAGCGGCAUUCAC